AGCGAACGCUGGCGGCAGGCCUAACACAUGCAAGUCGAACGAACUCUUCGGAGUUAGUGGCGGACGGGUGAGUAACACGUGGGAACGUGCCUUUAGGUUCGGAAUAACUCAGGGAAACUUGUGCUAAUACCGAAUGUGCUCUUCGGGGGAAAGAUUUAUCGCCUUUAGAGCGGCCCGCGUCUGAUUAGCUAGUUGGUGAGGUAAAGGCUCACCAAGGCGACGAUCAGUAGCUGGUCUGAGAGGAUGAUCAGCCACAUUGGGACUGAGACACGGCCCAAACUCCUACGGGAGGCAGCAGUUGGGAAUCUUGCGCAAUGGGCGAAAGCCUGACGCAGCCAUGCCGCGUAAAUGCUGAAGGUCUUAGGAUUGUAAAAUUCUUUCACCGGGGACGAUAAUGACGGUACCCGGAGAAGAAGCCCCGGCUAACUUCGUG
This 433-nucleotide ribosomal RNA is filed under the name uncultured bacterium. Its description in RNAcentral is "partial 16S ribosomal RNA". It matches the Rfam family "Bacterial small subunit ribosomal RNA", at positions 29 to 507 of the family's 1533-position model. The record is from RNAcentral.